AUAAAAAAUACCACCUCAACCAAAAACAAUUAAAAAUAUCUAAAAACAGUUGAAUUACUGCCUCUUCAAUCUUCUUCCUCCUUCAUCUCUUAAACAAAUGCUUCAUUCUCUCCACAUCUAUCCAUUUUCUUGUUCGCCCAUUUGCGACUGUUUUCGAAGACUAGUAUCGAUCUGACAGUCAUCUGGAAAAAAGGCGUUGAACCACGAAAUUAGAUCGUGGUGCCCUCUGAAUAACUCCUUCACCUCGGCUACCAGAGUUGCGGCUUCCAUCUUACGUACGGAAAAACAACAACAAAAAUCCAUUUAUCAGUUAUGUAUAAGCCUCCAGGUUGAAGAGUAGAAGAGAUCAGAGAGUAUUCCGUACCUUCCAGCAUGGUGCUAUCUCAAUGGAGACUCUUUGGAACUUUACCCAACUCCAUCAUCCGACCAAACAGUAUAAUUAUGGUGUCACUCAUCGACAUCAAUGACUUCCUGACUGAAAACCAUGAUUUUAUAGUAGAGAAGGUUUUGUGUUUGUGGGUGU
Molecule: long non-coding RNA, 523 nt
Filed under: Linum usitatissimum (flax)
Lineage: Eukaryota; Viridiplantae; Streptophyta; Magnoliopsida; Malpighiales; Linaceae
Description: long non-coding RNA (LUSI_LNC008018)
Source: RNAcentral